CGAGAAUAUUCGACAAUGGGCGAAAGCCUGAUCGAGCGAUACCGCGUGGUGGAUGAAGUGCUUCGGCACGUAAACACCUUUUAUGGAGGAGGAAGUUAUUGACGUUACUCCAUGAAUAAGGGGCUCCUAACUCUGUGCCAGCAGGAGCGGUAAUACAGAGGCCCCGAGCAUUACCCGGAAUUAUUGGGCGUAAAGAGUGCGUAGGUGGUCAUAUUAGUCGGUCGUUAAAACCCGGGGCUCAACCCCGGAGGUGCGACCGAAACGGUAUGACUCGAGGGCGUGAGAGGUACAUGGAACUCAUGGUGUAGGGGUGAAAUCCGUUGAUAUCAUGGGGAACACCNNACCCCGGUAGUCCACGCCCUAAACUCUGUCAACUGGCUUUCCGGAGUAUCGACCCUCUGGGAGGCGAAGCUAACGCGUUAAGUUGACCGCCUGGGUAGUACGGCCGCAAGGCUAAAACUCAAAGGAAUAGACGGGGGCUUGCACAAGCGGUGGAGCGUGUGGCUUAAUUCGUCGCUAAACGAAGAACCUUACCAGGUCUAGAAAUCCUACUGCACGCCUAAGGAAACUUAGGAAGCCUUCGAGGGUGUAGGACAGGUGAUGCAUGGCUGUCGUCAGUUCGUGGUUUGAACCGUUCCCUUCAGUGGGGUAACGAACGCAACCCUCGUUGCCAGUUACAAGUGUCUGGCGAGACUGCCCCCUCACGGGGGAGGAAGGUGAGGAUGACGCCAAGUCAGCAUGUCCCUCUGAUGACCUGGGCUGCACACGCGCUACAAUCGCCGUUACAAAGGGACGCAAUAUGGCAACAUGGAGCAAAUCCCAAAAAGCGGCGCCAGUUCGGAUUGGGGUCUGCAACCCGACCCCAUGAAGCCGGAAUCGCUAGUAAUCGUGGGUCAGCUAUACCACGGUGAAUACGUUCUCAAGCCUUGUACUCAAAAUUAAAUGCGCCUGGCAGGCGUUGAAUCCAGAUCGUUGAAAUCGAUCCCUCGCAGUAAUGCGAGCGUAGUGAACGGGUAGGUCCAAAGCCGCGA
Molecule: ribosomal RNA, 1031 nt
Filed under: Candidatus Kaiserbacteria bacterium
Lineage: Bacteria; Candidatus Kaiseribacteriota
Description: bacterial SSU rRNA
Rfam family: Bacterial small subunit ribosomal RNA
Source: RNAcentral